AUUUGUCAAAAAUGGCUUUUCAUUUCCGUCUCAUCUCUCUCUCUCAUUCAUCUUUUAUGCUGAUUGGGAAUCGAACAAAUACCAAAAUGGAAGCCAUGUGUGUCUGUCUCCCUCUAGUCUCCCUCUCCCUCUCCACAAAUCACCAUUACUUCUUCCUUCAAUUUUCUGACGAUGUGAGACCAUCACCGCCGCCUCCGUCCAGCUACUCGCCGCUGUCACCUCCCUUCCCAUUUACUCAGUUAUCUGAAACAAUGGAAGCUCGAGCAGCGUUUGAAAGGCGUCUCCUGUUUCCACUCCUCUCCGCCUUUAGCAGCAGCAGCAGCAGCAGCAGAUAAGCUGAUGGCUUCGUGGAGCAGUCACGACCUUACUUGAACAGGAUCUGUUCUAUAGGCUCGUACCUCUGUAUCCUUGAUUUCUAAGGAGACAGGAAACCACGUCUGGUGGAUGAACCGUGGCUGCCUGGCUAGAGCGUGAUUAACAGCCCCUUGGGUUGGGUUUCCGGCUCAUUGUGCAGUAGAUGAUCGUUCUUGGCUUGACUCCGGUCUUGUCAGGAUGGCCGGGCAGCUGUCUGACAGACUCUAAUCCUUUUUUUGUUUCCCUUUAUAGCUUUUUACAAGUUUCUUAAUCCUAUGCACAUUAGUUUGAUAAUCCAUGAUUGAUACUCCAUAUUUUUGGUUGAUAUAUUGCCAAGUCAUUGUUGAAGGUCUGUCAGCAUUAGUAUCCCAUAUCGAAUUCUCUAGGUAUAAAUUACAAGUACUUAAAUUGACAGGAGAGUGAAGUAGUCACGACCUUACUUAACAUGAUAUGUUCUAUAGGCUCAUAAGUCAUACCUUUGGAAUCCACAAAACCACAUCCGGUGGAUGAACCGUGGCUGCCUGGCUAGAGCGUGGUUAAUGGUGUGAUAACCUCUAUAUCUUUUAGGUCCUAUGCUUUUUGAGUCAUGUUCUGAAUGUAACAAAGAGCAGCCAAGCUGGUUUCUGUGCAAAAGAAGAUGGACAUGGAAGCUGGAUAUCCAUCCAUUGUAGCAGUUAAGGUAGCAAGAGGAGCAAUUUUGGGGGUUGUUGGAAUUAAUGUGUUCCUUGGAAAUGUUUGUGCUGCACCGAUGCAGGAAAUGGAUGUUCUAAGGUAUAUAUACGCUUCUUGUGCUUGUUUUCUCUUGUAGAUGCAUGUAUGUAUUUUAGUUGGUUCUUACACACUGUGGCUAUGGCUGCUCCAAUUUUGAAUCAUUCAUGACACUGAAGUUUCCAAGUGGGGCAAUAAUACAAGGUACAUUCUUCUAAAAAUUUAGCAUUAUAGCUGAACAUAUAUCACCUAUCCUUAUAGAAAUUGUAUUCCCACAUCGAAUGUAUAAAGAAAGGUUGAGCAGACCAUGUGGUAUAAAAUCAUGGGUAAGUCAAUGGAAAACUCAUACCUUUCUCGGCCUUUUGGCUAA
Long non-coding RNA from Salvia splendens (bonfire salvia), 1432 nucleotides. RefSeq lists it as uncharacterized. The record is from RefSeq and is a predicted model, not a curated record. The transcript has 2 exons. NCBI's taxonomy places the organism in Eukaryota, Viridiplantae, Streptophyta, Magnoliopsida, Lamiales, Lamiaceae.